This 240-nucleotide unclassified non-coding RNA is filed under the name soil metagenome. RNAcentral's name for it is "partial contains 5.8S ribosomal RNA, internal transcribed spacer 2, and large subunit ribosomal RNA". The record is from RNAcentral.
AACCAUUCUCACCUGCGGCUAGACCUGCGGAAGGAUCAUCAAAGAAUUUUCCAAAGAAAAAUGAGUUGCCUUGACAAGCGCUCUUUUUUCUUCAAACAAACGAUCACAACUAUUGAAAAAAUAUAAGAGAGAGUGAAAAAUUGAUUUGGUUGUGAGAAAUUGACUUGGCUUGAAAUUAAACAAACAAGUGUUUGCCUGAUAAUCUAAUGACUUGGAAACAAGAGAAAGAAAUAAUAAUAC